CUGACAUGGUCACUAGUCUUUUAUUUUGCUCAGUUAAGGACAUUAAAGAAAAUGUCAAAGAAAAGGUCCUUUUUAAACACACACAUGCACAGACCCUGAAAAUACACAGCUCCAGGGAAAGGGCCGUACUUCAGAUCGAGUAGGUCUAGCUUUAGGAAAACUUCACUGUAUUGUCCUAUUUUUCUCGUUUUGCCACAAGCAGAUGGCAACAGCUGGCACUGGGCACCCCGGCGAUGGGCUCGUGUUCCAGGAACUUCUGGUCCCUUCCAUGCAUCUGCGGGGCCCAAGGUCAAGGCGGCAGGGGACCCCUCCCCAGUACUCUCUCCAGCUCCCUCACUCAGCAGUCACUUCUGCUUCUUUGUGUCCCCCCCCCCAACACACAAUAUUUGCAGGAGGUGAGGGUGGGGAGGGGUCUUCACCCAGCUCCCAGAUGAUGAGAGCAGAUUGUCUGGUCACUGCUGGCAGACUGAGAUAGGCCGGCCCCUCCAGAAGCCAUUCCCAGAACCUCCCUCCCUGAACUCCAGUUUCUGUUUCCAUAAAAUGGGCAUAUUAACUCCUCAUCACAAGGCUGAUGUGAGGAGUAAAUGAAAGAGUGUUUGUGAAAGUACUUUGUGAACUAUAAAGCUCAGCAGGGGUAGUUAUUAUUAUCAUGGGAAACCAGUAAAUGACUGAAGAAAGAGCAGCCCAAAAGCUGAUCUCAGCUUCUGGGUGCAGAGACGGUGCUCACACCCACUCCGGGGUCUGUGAUCUCGGGGCCCCUCCAGCCCACAAAGGAGCAACGCGAGCCUGAGUCCUGUGAGUCAAGGCGGCCCGGCCCGGACCAAGGCCUUCUGCUGGAAACAGGGCCAGCCUCUGCCUUGUGCUUGGAGAGAGGGCCCGACAGCUGUCAAGGCUUCUGUUUACUUGUGGUGGCCCUACCGCAGUUUUUAAAGGGCUACCUCUGCCAACUCCCCACCCCCACCCCCACCAUGUCGCUGUGGGAUGGAGGGAAAACACACCGACCCAUGUUCCCAGGCCAGUUCCACCACUUGCUCCAGCUGUGUGGCUUUCGACACAUCCCUUUGCCUCUCUGCGCCUCGGUUUCCUCAUCUGCAAAAUAGAGAUAAGAGCCCUUAGCUCGUGGGGUUGCCGUGAGCUUAUAUGGCAUUGCGUGGGGAAGCCCCUGGAGAGUGCUCAGUCCUCGAGAGCCCCCCACCUCCCCGGGCACCUGGCAUAACCACAGCCCCCACAAAGGGAACCAAGGGGUCCCCAGGAAGCGUGAGCUGUGGCUGGGCUGCCUCCCUGCCCAGCGUGGAUCCCCAGGCCCCGGCUCCCUGCCCCCUCCCCCAGCAGCUCGGCAGCCAGUUGUCAUGAAGUCAUUGCCACCUUCCCCGGGCUGCCCCCCACCCCCGCCCCUGUGCUGACAUCCCAUUUGGCAAAGAGGUUGGAAAAGCCGCUGACUCUUCCAGACCCUGAGUUCAUUGACUGGUCAGUGCCCAUCGGCCACAGCUGACCAUGUGGUCAGAGGGGUCUGCGGAGUGAGGGAGGGGUCCCUCCAGGCUUUCACUCCCAGGCUCAAGCCAGCCCCGGCCCUGAAGACACUCCUCCGACAUGCGCGUGCACACCAUACGUAUACAUACCUGAAACCUACACAUGUGUGACCCCACAGACACACUUGUACACACUGUCCUCUUGAUCCCCACAUAAACACACACCAAGACACACACUCCUUCCCGUGUACAUAAUGUUUUAUACAACCGCCUACCCACAAAGGCACACUCCUACACACACGUGGCUACAGCACGUCCUACAUGCUCACACAGGCACACAUAAGUGUACUCGGCACUUCCUCACACACUGAAAGGGGUUGUUGGCCACCCAGCUACCCACAGCUGCGGCAACUCCUGACUCCACCCCCGGCCUGUGCCCUUGGCCUUCACUGGGCCAAGGGGAACACUCACGGCUGAGCCAGACUCGAGUGGGAGGGUCUCUGAGUCCCUAGACAAGAACCCCAGGCAGCCAGAGCUGAAACUGCUCAUCCCAGCUGACCCCUUCACUUUUAUUUGUGGGAACUGUGGCCCAGAGAGGGCAAGGGGAUGGGCAAGUCACACAGCCAAAGUUUUCCAAGUGCUUCAAAGUGUCUGAGAGCAUGGCCAAAAAGGAAGGAAGCAUCCAGGCCCCCUCCUCCCUAACAGCUGCCCUCCUCAAACCUCCUGACUCAGUUCCUCCCAUACUGGGCAGAACCAGCCCCUUGGCUGGGCCCAGUCCAUGGCUUCCUCCAGGAUGACUGCCAAGAUUGGGCACUGUGUGGGACCUUCACCCUCCGCUCUGGGUGCAAGGUCAUCUGAAGGCGUGCAGGGGAGGGCGCCCACUGUUGAGACAAAGCCCUCGUGGCUUGGGAUGUUGACACUCACUUGGCUUUGGCUGGCCGGCCGCACCAAAUACUCAGCCCAAGGCUGCAGGCCCACACCCACCCUCCCUCUGCCCAGCCCUCGCUCCCUGACUCAGUCUCCCUCGCUGGGACUCAAGACCCUCAGCAGCUGCCUGGAAUGGGACUCCAUCAAGGGACCGCAGGCUCCAGGUCCCUCCAGGUCCCCAGACUAUCAGCCCCACAAGGGUGAGGAUUUCUGCCUGGAAUGGUGCCUGGCGCCCAGUGAGUGACCAACAAAAACGUGUUGAAUGAAUGGGCCGUCUCCCUAUCCCCAGCCUCCUUUUACAGUGGCUCCUCCAGGUCAUAAUCAGGAGUUCUGAUCCAGCUGCUUCCCAUCAGCCAGGAGCUGGGGAAUCUGCCAUGGGUGGCUGUGUGACGUUGGACCAGUCGCUUCCCUCUCUGAGCUUCAGCUGCCAUCUAAGAAGGCAGGGCUGCUGCUGGGGAGAGCACAGCUUGUCCUGUGUGAUUCCAGGGACCACGCCUGUGCGGGGGGAGGGGGUGUCCAGUCACCAGUGCUGCGUCCUUCCUGCUGGCUUUGAAGAGGGCACCCCUUUGGGCAGACCCAGGCUGGGGAGCCCCACAUUGUAAAUAAAACUGCCGCCCAGAAUAGACCAACAUUUUCAACCUGGGAACCAAGGGAACAAGAGUAGUUCUAAGUCUUUCUCGCACCUUUCUCCCACCGCACCCACCUCCCCCCAACUCACACGUGGCUGGGUCCACCCUAGGGAGCGAGGGGGCGCCGACUCCGGGUCAGCAUCCUGCUUCCUGCAGGGCUGCAGCGAGGCCUGCCCAGGGUGCACACAGAGGACUGUUUGUUCGCAGUGGGCGGCGAGGAGAUGCUAAUGCCUGCAGAUCGCUGGGCUCCGGCUGAAGGUCAGGAGGUAAGGCGACCCGCGGUUAUAAAUAACCCUGCCGGGCAGCGGGCACAGGAGGGCUGCUCUGGAUCGGCGCCCCUGGCCUGGCGGGGCCCAGAUUGAUUACUGCCUUCCCCCGGUCCCCGACUGCGGGAACCUGACCCCCUAGAGCACCGUGCAGUGACCUUUAGGAGCGAA
Molecule: long non-coding RNA, 3462 nt
Filed under: Equus asinus (donkey)
Lineage: Eukaryota; Metazoa; Chordata; Mammalia; Perissodactyla; Equidae
Description: lncRNA (ENSEASG00005029538.1)
Source: RNAcentral